AUCAUGGAAAUCAGAGCAGCGAUCUUAUCUGUAAUAUGUCACAUGAUACUAUCAGAAUCAGCUGAUCCGAAAAUGAAGACGACAGAUCACAUUGGAUGCUACAAACGUAACAGCACAACGUUUGCAUGGUAUGAUUCAAGCGUCCUGAUUAAUGUUAACUUUACAACUGAUGGGUAUCUGGAAUGUCAAAACAAAGCAAGAGUGCAAGAACACCAUGUAGCUCAUUUUGAGUUCGACGAACAUCAACAACUAUCGAUCAGGUGCAAACCUAAAACCAAGAUCCACAUAUAUGAAGCUCUGCUCUUCGAUCUUACUCCCGAAUGCUCUGGUAAAGUAAUUGAAAACGUUACAACGUCAAUUUACAACAUGUGUUCCGCUGCGGAACAGUGUCAAAUAUACGACCUUAUAGAAGCAGACUACAAUGUUGCAGAUGGCUGUUAUUACGAAAGGCUGAAUAUUACUUUUGGUUGUAUGUACGACAGAUUAAUCAAGUUAACUAGAUUGACCAGAAGUGUUGCUGAACCCCUAGGAAUUUUUUUUUGUGUGCUUUGGGGAUGGUAAUUUCAUUUGUUGUUAUAACGUUGUUUUGUAUCCUGCUUAUAAAAAUGUGCUCAUUGUGCUGUCAUGAGGGCAGGGAGGACAGUGAGGACAUGACCUACCCAACCGCUGCAACCUACCCAACCGCUGCAACCAGUAGCACCUACCCACCAGCUGCAACCAAGGGUCGACCGCAUCCUCGGCCUCGGCCUCAUAUCGAGGAAUAUCGAUUUCAUCGAGGAAUAUCGAUUGCCUCGGCCCCAUUACCUGCAACCGUAGGUACCUACUCGUCACCUUUAACCGGAGUUACCUAUUCAUUACCUGCAACCGGUGGUACCCACUCAUCACAUGCAACCGGAGGUACCCACUCAUCACCUGCAACCGGAGGUACCCACCCAUCACCUGCAACCGGAGGAACCCACUCAUCACCUGCAACCGGAGGUACCCACUCAUCACCUGCAACCGGAGGUACCCACCCAUCACCUGCAACCGGAG
This is a long non-coding RNA of Bolinopsis microptera, 1032 nucleotides long. RefSeq lists it as uncharacterized. The record is from RefSeq and is a predicted model, not a curated record. The transcript is spliced from 3 exons. Lineage: Eukaryota; Metazoa; Ctenophora; Tentaculata; Lobata; Bolinopsidae.